UUUGCUAUUCAGAGGUUUUCCAGUGAAGACCGGCCGAGCAUCAUCGAGCGCCGCGUGCGCCGGCUAUUGGAGAUUCUCUGCAAUCAUGAGCGCCGGCAGGAUUCUUUUGUCCACCAAGAAGCAGAAAUAUGCGGUGGUGACGUCGAACAACAAGACUCUACUGUCCCGCGAUGAUCUCCGCUGUAUCGACCGCUUUGUGGACAAGCGAGUUGUCACGGCGACCUACGCUAAUGGCACGCAGCCGCCACCUUCGCACGGGAUUCCGGCCCUGCCCUUUGAGAAGGUGAGCGAGAACUGCGACAGCGUUUUGCUGCUGUCAGUGAGUGCAAUCCACGAGCGCGAGAGCGCGUUGGAUGUGCCGCUGCGGUUCAUGGCUCCGGAGGAGUAUCAUGCCCCGGCCCUGGAGGAACCGCCGACGCGACUGCCACUUGCACGGCGCAUUGUGGCCCUCCUGCAAGGGGCUACGAGUUCGAUGGUCUCGUGGCGGUACACACCGCCGGUGGCGAAGGAUUACACGGUGACGGAGAUCCAGGUCACGAAGGACGCGGAGGCCCGCGCACAUUCCUCGCUUCGUGCCGGCAACAAGAGCAAGGCGGCCCACCUCUUUUGUGUAUCGGGGUGUUUCCACUACAACUACGGCAACAUGGAGUGGGCGGUGAGUUGCUUCAAGAAGGCGCUUAACAUAGCAGAGGAGCUGGAGGAUGCCCGGUGCCUUGCGUUCUGCCACAACAUCUUAGGCGUCUGCUUCUACCGCUUGGGAGAGUACAAGAUGUCACUUGUGCAUCACAAGAAGCAGGAGGCACUUGGCGGCAGCUACGCUCGCGCCGUGGCAGAGAUGAACAUGGGCGUCAGCUACGCCGCCCUCAGCGAGCUCGAGUUUGCCCAGCAGGCGUUCGAGGACGCACUGCUGAAUGCUCGGGAAACGGACGAUUCGAUGCUGCUCACCAUCGCACUUGGCAACGUAGGGCUCGUGUCGCUGCGUAUCGGAGAUAUGCGCGCCGCGCAGCUGCACCUGGAGCAGUGCCUGGAGCAGUGUAGCAUAGCAGGUGACAAGAGCGGUGCCUCCUUGUGUCUCCUCCUCCUCGGCGAGGUGUACUCGCUCAUCCACGACCACCAGCAUGCGCUGUUCUACUACAAGCACGCCUACCGUGUUGGCGGCGAGGCCAACAACCCGGAUGUGGUGAGUAUGGCUCGCGUCAGUAUAGGCAUCGCACAGGGCAACUUAGAAAUCCGUGACUCCGUGCUGAGAGAGGCAGCCUUGAUGGGAAAGACGAACAGCGUGCAGAGCAUUGUGAGUCAGCUACCUCAGUAGAGGCGAGGCGGCGCGGGAAGGAGAGGCAGAUGACGGACACGAGGGGGGCUUAGAAACAACAACAAAAAACGAAAAGUGGUAGGCCUACUCUAGCCCACCUCACCGAUACCCUCCUCGCCAUCAUCCGCGCGGUCUUCUCUGUCCUGUGCAGAGAAGACGGUGCCAAGCGUGGAUGGCUGCCCUCCCCCUCCCCCGCGGUAAGAAAGACAAAAAAGAUGGAGGAUGUGAACGGCUGUUCUCCUUUUGCUCUCUUUCGCCCUUCUUCCCCCCUCUCUCUGUGCCCUUUUGCCGGGUGUGGCUCGGCGCCUCUCCUUUUCAUCCUCGGCUACACGUACGCGUGUGUGCCCAUCUUGCGCAUCAACCCUUUUUUAUCCUUCUUGCUCUGCUUGGCAUGUGCGUUGUGGCGGAUCGCGUCACACUGACAGGACGCUGCUGUUGGCUGCUUUGCGCCAUCUGCGUCGAACGAGUUGAAUCCAUGUAUAUAUUUCCUUGGGAGCUGGCCGCGCAAGAGUCUGUGUGUGCGUGCGAGUACGUCGUACUGUGACGGAAGGCAUCGCCAUGUGUCUGUCCUCUCCUCUUUUCCCGCUACGCGCAUUGGGUGGAGACCUCUGCGCAUCAGCCAUUUCUGUGACGCGUUGGUACGCAAUAUGUUCUACUGAUUACGGUUCCUCCGACCCUUUUAUUUCUGAGUCC
RNAcentral lists this unclassified non-coding RNA (2005 nucleotides) under Leishmania donovani. Its description in RNAcentral is "gene:LdHU3.33.2710(CDS-product:Anaphase-promoting _complex_subunit_5/Tetratricopeptide_repeat_putative)". Lineage: Eukaryota; Euglenozoa; Kinetoplastea; Trypanosomatida; Trypanosomatidae. The record is from RNAcentral.